This 327-nucleotide ribosomal RNA is filed under the name uncultured eukaryote. RNAcentral's name for it is "partial 18S ribosomal RNA". It matches the Rfam family "Eukaryotic small subunit ribosomal RNA", at positions 1470 to 1796 of the family's 1831-position model. The record is from RNAcentral.
CCCUUAGAUGUUCUGGGCUGCACGCGCGCUACACUGAAGCGUUCAACGAGUAUUCACCUUGCCCAGGAGGGUUGGGUAAUCUUUUGAAAACGCUUCGUGAUGGGGAUAGAUUAUUGCAAUUAUUAAUCUUCAACGAGGAAUGCCUAGUAGGCGCAAGUCAUCAGCUUGCGUCGAUUACGUCCCUGCCCUUUGUACACACCGCCCGUCGCUCCUACCGAUUGGGUGUGCUGGUGAAAUGUUCGGAUCGGCCGUUUGUCGCGGUUUCCGCGUCAUGUGGCUGAGAAGUUCAUUAAACCCUCCCACCUAGAGGAAGGAGAAGUCGUAACA